GACCCUAAUAAAUGAACCAUGAUCAUAGCUCUAUGGUUGAGCCCGAAUCUUUUGGUGAACCAAAUCAAAACUAAUUAAUCAGUUAGUGUCUAAAGUAAGUUUAGCAGAUUCGAUCAAGUAAUUUUUAAUUGAGAGCUAUUCACCUAGAUGCGUCUACGAUGAGUUAAGGGCACAUCUCUCUCACUGAUCUCACUUACGUGGCCAACAUGGUAGAUUAUAUUUUGAUUAGGUCACUAGUCGAUUCAUGCAGACCCAUACCA
Molecule: long non-coding RNA, 260 nt
Filed under: Elaeis guineensis (African oil palm)
Lineage: Eukaryota; Viridiplantae; Streptophyta; Magnoliopsida; Arecales; Arecaceae
Description: long non-coding RNA (EGUI_LNC080369)
Source: RNAcentral